GACGAACGCUGGCGGCGUGCUUAACACAUGCAAGUCGAACGGAAAGGCCCUGCUUUUUUGGGGUGCUCGAGUGGCGAACGGGUGAGUAACACGUGUGUAACCUGCCCUUCACUUUGGGAUAACUUCAGGAAACUGGGGCUAAUACCGGAUAGGAUCUCCUGCUGCAUGGUGGGGGUUGGAAAGUUUCGGCGGUUGGGGAUGGACUCGCGGCUUACCAGCUUGUUGGUGGGGUAGUGGCUUACCAAGGCUUUGACGGGUAGCCGGCCUGGGAGGGUGGCCGGCCACAUUGGGACUGAGAUACGGCCCAGACUCCUACGGGAGGCAGCAGGGGGGAAUAUUGCACAGUGGGCGGGAGCCUGAUGCAGCGACGCCGCGUGCGGGAUGACGGCCUUCGGGGUGUAAACCGCUGUCGCCUGUGACGAAGCGUGUGUGACGGUAAUGGGUAAAGAAGCACCGGCUAACUACGUG
Molecule: ribosomal RNA, 468 nt
Filed under: uncultured bacterium
Lineage: Bacteria
Description: partial 16S ribosomal RNA
Rfam family: Bacterial small subunit ribosomal RNA
Source: RNAcentral